This 958-nucleotide long non-coding RNA is filed under the name Phascolarctos cinereus (koala). RNAcentral describes it as "lncRNA (ENSPCIG00000036868.1)". The record is from RNAcentral. Lineage: Eukaryota; Metazoa; Chordata; Mammalia; Diprotodontia; Phascolarctidae.
CCAAGAUUAAAUAGUCUUUGAAAAGAAAAGACUUCACCUCUCCACCCCAGUCUUUGGCCUUCUGGUUAUGGAAGAUGAACUUUAGAUAAUCUUUCAUUGCAGUAAGAACAAGUUGGAUUUAGAGCAAAUUUAGCUCAAACUGUGUGGCAAGUUUUUCCUACUAUAAUUUAUUGUUUCUCAGCAGCUAUUUAGAAUCCCAGUAGAGAUCCUUUUUCUAACAGUUGUGGCGUAUACAGAGUACAUAACGUAUUCUUGUCUCUUUUGAUUAAGAAGAGUGAGACCUGUAUUUAAAAACUCUUACUACCAGUGAGCCUUGAAAAACAUAAAUGGUUUUUUUUUUCCCUUCAGGAUAAUCCAGUGAAGUAACAACUAUGUCAUAAUACUAACUGGUACAAGCAGACUGAGUAAUUGGGUUAACAAGAGAAGAGUCUAACCUUUUCAGUGUUUGUCAUAGUACCACUGUAAAGUGUUUUAAGGGUAAAUAGUGAUUGGCAGCCACACCUGGCUUAACUGCCAUCACAUGGAAGGGAGUAAAAUUAGUUAACAUGGAAUUGUAAUUUCAGGGAUUACCAAAAAAAUGAACUUAAUUAGGAAAAGGAGAAGGAAUGGGAACGAAGAAGACAGUCAUCUCCUCCAGACCAAACGGAGUAGCAGAAACCCUGUCUUUCAGGACUCCUGGGAUACAGAGAUUCACUUUGCUCUUGAAGUGAGAGGAUUUGUGUGCUAAACUUUAUGACUUUUAGAAGAAAGCAUGCAUGCUAUCACAAGACUAAAACUAAGAAAACGGCUUGUGACCUGUUAAUCAAGUAGUGGUGAGUGUAUUUUUGAGAUUCUCAACAUAAUUGCUUUGGUCUCUUAAAUAAUAUUAAUUCACACUUAUAUAGAAAUCAUCCUUUCUCUUUAGAAGAAGGAGUAAACUUCCCAUGAGAAUAAAGUGUAGACUGAAAAACUUUUUACA